This 207-nucleotide ribosomal RNA is filed under the name Streptomyces sp. UMAF16. RNAcentral describes it as "partial 23S ribosomal RNA". It matches the Rfam family "Bacterial large subunit ribosomal RNA", at positions 375 to 586 of the family's 2925-position model. The record is from RNAcentral. Lineage: Bacteria; Bacillati; Actinomycetota; Actinomycetes; Kitasatosporales; Streptomycetaceae.
GUAUACGAAAAGUUGACAAAAACAGCUAGAAAGAGUAGUGUCGAACACGAGAAAUUCGGCGUGAAUAUGGGGGGACCACCCCCCAAGGCUAAAUACUACCAUGUGACCGAUAGAGGAUAGUACCGUGAGGGAAAGGUGAAAAGAACCCCGGAAGGGGAGUGAAAUAGAAUCUGAAACCUUGUGCUUACAAUCAGUGGAAGCAGACAG